GGAGUAGGGGUGGGGAGAAGAGCGUCCCGGGAAGCUGAACGCGUGCCGCGCGGCCCUCACGGUGCUUAGGCUGGGUGCAACCUAGAACGGAGGUUCCUUUCGUACCGUACAUCCAGGUUUGCACAGCGCGCUUAUGUCCCUCCUCCAAUCUGAUCUUGCACCAGCUCUGCAGUAGUUUUUCUUAUUAUCCUCAUUUUACGGAGGAGAGGGAGCUGUGGCUUAGAGAAGUUAAGAGACGUGUCCAAAUUCAUACAACCUGUUGGGCACCUCUUUAUCCCGAACGCUGUUCUAGGGGAUAGGGUUAGUGAACAAAAAACGCAAAAGCCCCUGACCGCCUGGGCCUUACAUCUAUUAGGAGGAGGAAGACAGAUAAACUAAGGCUCGUGCAAAGGAGAAAAAUAAAGCAAGGUGACUUUCUGCAGACUUCGGACUCACCAGUGGUGUUUCAUUCUAUUUAAUGUCAUCCUAUUUCAUGCCUUGCUUUUUGGGACUGACUUUGUGGAGGAAUACUUUCUGCAUUCUUUGCCUUAUAUAGAUGUGAAAGUUCUUGAAAUUAAGAAUAAGGCAAGAAAAUUGAACAUCGAACCCCU
This 590-nucleotide long non-coding RNA is filed under the name Homo sapiens (human). Its description in RNAcentral is "long non-coding RNA NONHSAT134515.2". Lineage: Eukaryota; Metazoa; Chordata; Mammalia; Primates; Hominidae. The record is from RNAcentral.